CACCGCCCGUCACACCAUGGGAGUUUGUUGCACCAGAAGCAGGUAGCUUAACCGCAAGGAGGGCGCUUGCCGCGGUGUGGCCGAUGACUGGGGUG
RNAcentral lists this ribosomal RNA (95 nucleotides) under uncultured bacterium. Its description in RNAcentral is "partial 16S ribosomal RNA". It matches the Rfam family "Bacterial small subunit ribosomal RNA", at positions 1388 to 1482 of the family's 1533-position model. The record is from RNAcentral.